Molecule: ribosomal RNA, 497 nt
Filed under: uncultured bacterium
Lineage: Bacteria
Description: partial 16S ribosomal RNA
Rfam family: Bacterial small subunit ribosomal RNA
Source: RNAcentral
GAUGAACGCUGGCGGCGUGCCUAAUACAUGCAAGUCGAGCGAACAGACGAGGAGCUUGCUCCUCUGACGUUAGCGGCGGACGGGUGAGUAACACGUGGAUAACCUACCUAUAAGACUGGGAUAACUUCGGGAAACCAGAGCUAAUACCGGAUAUUAUAUUGAACCGCAUGGUUCAAUAGUGAAAGACGGUUUUGCUGUCACUUAUAGAUGGAUCCGCGCCGCAUUAGCUAGUUGGUAAGGUAACGGCUUACCAAGGCAACGAUGCGUAGCCGACCUGAGAGGGUGAUCGGCCACACUGGAACUGAGACACGGUCCAGACUCCUACGGGAGGCAGCAGUAGGGAAUCUUCCGCAAUGGGCGAAAGCCUGACGGAGCAACGCCGCGUGAGUGAUGAAGGUCUUCGGAUCGUAAAACUCUGUUAUUAGGGAAGAACAAAUGUGUAAGUAACUAUGCACGUCUUGACGGUACCUAAUCAGAAAGCCACGGCUAACUACGUG